CGAACUCACGGACCGUGAGAUCGUGACCUGGCUGAAGUCGGACGCUUAACCGACUGCGCCACCCAGGCGCCCCCCAAACAGCAUUUUUAAAAGCAAUAAAAGGGGACAGAAGAGGAGCAGCAGAGACUGGAGGAUGGCUGGCAGAGCAGACAAACCAAGCAGGAUAUGCCACUGCUCAUGACUGCCCAAGAUGAAGUUGAGGCCGACAAUCUGAAGAGGCAGGAGGAAACAUAGCAGGUGCACAACAUGUUGGGUCUGCUUUCUGCAAUUAUUUGUUGAAAAAGCACAUUGACUGUUUAAUAGUAUUCCCUGGUGGGGAACCUGGGUGGCUCAGUUCGUGAAGCGUCUGACUUGGGCUCAGGUCACGAUCUCAUGGUUUGUGAGUUCGAGCCCUGCGUCAGGCUCUGUGCUGACAGCUCAGAGCCUGGAGCCUGCUUCAGAUUCUGUGUCUCCCUCUCUCUCUGCCCCUUCCCCACUUGUGCUCGCUCUCUAUCUGUCUCUAAAACAGAUAAAUAAACUUAAAAAAAUAGUA
Molecule: long non-coding RNA, 532 nt
Organism: Neofelis nebulosa (Clouded leopard)
Lineage: Eukaryota; Metazoa; Chordata; Mammalia; Carnivora; Felidae
Exons: 2
Source: RefSeq, a predicted model, not a curated record